This 497-nucleotide ribosomal RNA is filed under the name uncultured bacterium. RNAcentral describes it as "partial 16S ribosomal RNA". It matches the Rfam family "Bacterial small subunit ribosomal RNA", at positions 28 to 507 of the family's 1533-position model. The record is from RNAcentral.
GAUGAACGCUGGCGGCGUGCCUAAUACAUGCAAGUCGAGCGAACGGACGAGAAGCUUGCUUCUCUGAUGUUAGCGGCGGACGGGUGAGUAACACGUGGAUAACCUACCUAUAAGACUGGGAUAACUUCGGGAAACCGGAGCUAAUACCGGAUGAUAUUUUGAACCGCAUGGUUCAAAAGUGAAAGACGGUCUUGCUGUCACUUAUAGAUGGAUCCGCGCUGCAUUAGCUAGUUGGUAAGGUAACGGCUUACCAAGGCAACGAUGCAUAGCCGACCUGAGAGGGUGAUCGGCCACAAUGGAACUGAGACGCGGUCCCGACGCCUACGGGAGGCAGCAGUAGGGAAUAUUCCGCAAUGGGCGAAAGCCUGACGGAGCAACGCCGCGUGAGUGAUGAAGGUCUUCGGCUCGUAAAACUCUGUUAUUAGGGAAGAACAUAUGUGUAAGUAACUGUGCACAUCUUGACGGUACCUAAUCAGAAAGCCACGGCUAACUACGUG